This 510-nucleotide ribosomal RNA is filed under the name uncultured bacterium. RNAcentral's name for it is "partial 16S ribosomal RNA". It matches the Rfam family "Bacterial small subunit ribosomal RNA", at positions 28 to 507 of the family's 1533-position model. The record is from RNAcentral.
GACGAACGCUGGCGGCGUGCUUAACACAUGCAAGUCGAACGAAGAGCGACGGAAGCUUGCUUCUAUCAAUCUUAGUGGCGAACGGGUGAGUAACGCGUAAUCAACCUGCCCUUCAGAGGGGGACAACAGUUGGAAACGACUGCUAAUACCGCAUACGAUCUAACCUCGGCAUCGAGGAUAGAUGAAAGGUGGCCUCUACAUGUAAGCUAUCACUGGAGGAGGGGAUUGCGUCUGAUUAGCUAGUUGGAGGGGUAACGGCCCACCAAGGCGAUGAUCAGUAGCCGGUCUGAGAGGAUGAACGGCCACAUUGGGACUGAGACACGGCCCAGACUCCUACGGGAGGCAGCAGUGGGGAAUCUUCCGCAAUGGACGAAAGUCUGACGGAGCAACGCCGCGUGAGUGAUGACGGCCUUCGGGUUGUAAAGCUCUGUUAAUCGGGACGAAAGGCCUUCUUGCGAAUAGUGAGAAGGAUUGACGGUACCGGAAUAGAAAGCCACGGCUAACUACGUG